GAAGGUGGCCUGUGAGGGUUGCUGGAGGUAUCAGAAGUGCGAAUGCUGACAUAAGUAACGAUAAAGCGGGUGAAAAGCCCGCUCGCCGGAAGACCAAGGGUUCCUGUCCAACGUUAAUCGGGGCAGGGUGAGUCGACCCCUAAGGCGAGGCCGAAAGGCGUAGUCGAUGGGAAACAGGUUAAUAUUCCUGUACUUGGUGUUACUGCGAAGGGGGGACGGAGAAGGCUAUGUUGGCCGGGCGACGGUUGUCCCGGUUUAAGCGUGUAGGCUGGUUUUCCAGGCAAAUCCGGAAAACCAAGGCUGAGGCGUGAUGACGAGGCACUACGGUGCUGAAGCGACAAAUGCCCUGCUUCCAGGAAAAGCCUCUAAGCAUCAGGUAACAUCAAAUCGUACCCCAAACCGACACAGGUGGUCAGGUAGAGAAUACCAAGGCGCUUGAGAGAACUCGGGUGAAGGAACUAGGCAAAAUGGUGCCGUAACUUCGGGAGAAGG
RNAcentral lists this ribosomal RNA (492 nucleotides) under Escherichia coli. RNAcentral's name for it is "partial 23S ribosomal RNA". It matches the Rfam family "Bacterial large subunit ribosomal RNA", at positions 1252 to 1746 of the family's 2925-position model. Lineage: Bacteria; Pseudomonadati; Pseudomonadota; Gammaproteobacteria; Enterobacterales; Enterobacteriaceae. The record is from RNAcentral.